AAAAAAUAAAUAAUAAAAAAAACACGUGGGAGUAGUCUUGUUAUAGGCGAAUGUAGUGCAGUGGAAAUAUUAAUCGCUCUUUAAUCUUCGUUAUUUCACCUCAAACGGGAGUGUGUGUGCUGGGAGGACCUGAGCCACCUCCACCCCACCCCUGGGGCUUCCUGCCCCAGGAGGAGGAGGAGGAGGAGGAGGAGACGCGGGUGCCCCCCGGGGGACGUGACAGCGGUGACGACGAGCCCCCGUCCUGCACCCCCUGGCCCCCAAGCCCCACCCCACCUACCACCAGCCACACCAGUCCCCACAGCAGCCUCCGUCACCCGCCCCACACCAGGAGCACCUGCCCCAGGACUGCCUGCCCCGCCCCCACAAGACACCGCCCCCAGCCUCCCCUGUCCAGAAGGAGCGCGCCCCUCACAGGUCCCGCUCCCGCUCCCACUCCUGCUGCAGCACUGUGGCACUCAACAUAGCCACAGCAGGAGAGGCAGGGGAGAGCUCACUCACACACACACACACACACACACACACACACACACACACACACACACACACACACACACACACACACACACACACACACACACACACACACACACAUUACUUAUAUAACUGUCACUAAUUACACACAAGUAAUUCUUUCACAGGCCAAUUAUCAACCCCCAAACUAACCCCCCUCCUCCCAACAGUUCCAGUACCCUUAUGAUGCAGCCAAGGGGACUGACGCCACCACCACCACCACCACCACCACCACCACCACAACAAGGGUUAUUCAAGUGGGGAACAUGCUUCAGGUGUUGCCCCAAGAUGCCUCAGCCCCGCAGCCCCACUCCGCCAUGAUAGUGCAGGCAGGGAAUGUCAUACAGAUUGUUCCAGCUGACAACAUGCAGGUGUUAGGGGCAGAAGUUGUUGGAGUUGGUGGGAUCAUGCAAGUGGUCGGGGUCCCAGGCUCUCCCAAACCAGCUCCCCAUCUGUGCCUAUGCAGUGUCUGGCCAGCCACUAGUGUGUUUUGGGGACUCAGACCAGCAGAUUCCCACUGUUUAUCCACUGUUUGUGUUGAUGCAGUGUCUGGCCAGCCACUAGUGUGUAUGUAGGGGACUCAGACCAGCAGAUUCCCACUGUUUAUCCACUGUUUGUGUUGAUGCAGUGUUUGGCCAGCCACUUGUGUGUAUGUAGGGGACUGAGACAAAUUUAUUUACUGUUCAGUGACCCGUUUGCAGGCACAGGGGUGUUGACGAGCUGGGUGUGCAGGAGACAGACAAUUAGAAAGGUUUACAGUUCAAAUGCUACAUGUAUCUUCAAAAUACAGAUAAUAAGUAGAUAAAUAUUGAAAUUAAUAUAAAAUACCAUUGUGUAUUUAACACUUAACCAAACUUAACCAACGUACACACACAAACGCUAACUCCGACAGUACCCUAACUACCUUGCCAUCCCGCAGGAGGCCACGUCGGAGGUGCCUGUGGUGGGGUCGCCAGUUCCGGAGUACGAAGUGGAGGAGGAAGAGGAAGAGGAGGACGAGGAGGAGGCACGGAUGAGGAAGAAGAAAAGAUCAUUAGCUGUAGCUCUCCCUCCAGCUGAUAAGGGGAUAUUAAUGAGGCCUUCCUACAGGUACUCUCCCAGCCGUGUCACAGCUGAUGAUGAUGAUGAUGAUGAUGAUGCCACGCCCACCCCCAGCCUGAGCCACCCUCCACUCACCCCAGCCCUCACCAAGCCUCCUUCAGUACCCCUCCACACCACCACAACCACCACCACCACCAGCGACGCAACAGCCUCAUCUACCUCAGCCGGCCCACCCCCUGGCCCGACCCCCUCCCUGACAGUGGCCCCCCCACGGCAGGCAAGAAGAAGAAGGAGGAGAAAGUAUCAAUAAUCGUACAGAUUCGCGACGAGGAAUCCAGACUGAAACAGGCGCUGGGUUUAAAGAACAUAAUUUUCAACCCUUACGGUCCUGGCCUGGCCCCGAUUGCCAAGCUGCUGGACACCCCUGAGGAGCUGAAGCGUUUUGAGCCCAAGGGCUGCACCAUGAAGGUCCGGCCGGAGGAGAACGAGGCUCGGCUGAACAGAAACAAAGAACGGGGGCGCAGGGACAGGCCGGAGAGGGUCGACAGAAUGGACCGCCCCAGGGCAAAGGAGAGGGACAGACGCACGGACGCACAGGCCACGCAGGUCCGCUCCAUCCACCCACCCGUGCACAGAAAUGCUGGUAUCUCCACGUUGACAACUGGCCAGAGGAAGUAAGGACAGUACCUUGUGUCCCUGCCUCUGCUACCUCACCCCCUGCCCCGCCCCCUGCCCCAGCCCCCCCGCACACAAGUCGGCCAAGUCCAAGUGGGACUCUGACACAGAAGAGCAAGUGGACGGACAGAAGUGAGGGGAGAGAGAGAGGAGGAAGAGAAGGAGGAGAGGAAGGAAAAUAAAAAUAUAAUCAAGAAUUUGGAGGAAGAGGAAGACCAGGAGGUACAGGUGAAGGAAGAGGAGGAAGAGGAAUAGACUAUCCCAGAGAAGAUGAAGGAAGAGGAGGAAGAGGAGGAGGAGGAGGAGGAGGAAGAGAAGGAAGAGUGAGGCAAAGGUCUUCCCCGAUUGUUUGACCGAAGAAUACGAAGCUUUCCUUAUGAUGGUGGAUGGAGGAGGAGGAGGAGGAGGAGGAGGAGGAGAGAAGAAAGAGGAGGAAGAGGAAGAGGAGGAGGAGGAAGGAAGAUGCAAGAGAGAGGUCACAUCACUAUAUAAAGAAGAGGAGGAAGACUACAUGAAAAUUGAAGAAGAGGAGGAGGAAAGAAGAAGAAAGAGGAUGAGAGAGGAGGAGGAGGAAGAGGAAGAGGAGAAGAAAGAACAGAAGACCCUGGAGAAGAUGAAGAAGAAGAGGAAGAAGCAAAUGAAGGAGAAGAGGAGGCAGAAGAAACUGGAUAAGAAGGC
Long non-coding RNA from Scylla paramamosain (green mud crab), 2907 nucleotides. RefSeq lists it as uncharacterized. The record is from RefSeq and is a predicted model, not a curated record. The transcript has 4 exons. NCBI's taxonomy places the organism in Eukaryota, Metazoa, Arthropoda, Malacostraca, Decapoda, Portunidae.